RNAcentral lists this ribosomal RNA (273 nucleotides) under uncultured bacterium. RNAcentral describes it as "partial 16S ribosomal RNA". It matches the Rfam family "Bacterial small subunit ribosomal RNA", at positions 524 to 796 of the family's 1533-position model. The record is from RNAcentral.
UACGUAGGUGGCAAGCGUUAUCCGGAAUUACUGGGCGUAAAGCGCACGCAGGCGGUCUUUUAAGUUUGACGUGAAAGCUCCCGGCUUAACUGGGAGAGGUCGUUGAAGACUGGAAGGCUUGAGGCAAUGAGAGGGGUGUAGAAUUCCCGGUGUAGUGGUGGAAUGCGUAGAUAUCGGGGGGAAUACCAGUGGCGAAAGCGGCACCCUAGCGUUGUUCUGACGCUCAUGUGCGAAAGCGUGGGGAGCGAACGGGAUUAGAAACCCUUGUAGUCC